CCGUGCUAAGCGGGGAGGUAGCGGUGCCCUGUACUCGCAAUCCGCUCUAGCGAGGCCGAAUCCCUUCCAGAGGUUAGUAUAUUUUAGGGUCUGACUCAAGUAAGUGGUGUUGACGUCUGGGUCCUGCGCAAUGGGAAUCUGUGAACCCUGUCAGGUCCGGAAGGAAGCAGCAGUAAGCAGAAGCUCUCAUGUGCCGCAGGGCAGCCUGGACCGAGCUAACUGCUUGAGUAACGCCUAGGGUUGCUAAUCGAAGGAAGGUGCACGG
This 265-nucleotide signal recognition particle RNA is filed under the name Bacillus fengqiuensis. RNAcentral's name for it is "large signal recognition particle RNA". It matches the Rfam family "Bacterial large signal recognition particle RNA". Rfam says of the family: The signal recognition particle (SRP) is a universally conserved ribonucleoprotein involved in the co-translational targeting of proteins to membranes. Archaeal SRP consists of a 7S RNA and homologues of the eukaryotic SRP19 and SRP54 proteins. In most bacteria, the SRP consists of a 4.5S RNA and the Ffh protein (a homologue of the eukaryotic SRP54 protein). Lineage: Bacteria; Bacillati; Bacillota; Bacilli; Caryophanales; Bacillaceae. The record is from RNAcentral.